UUAAUUUGUUUCAAUCUCAAGAACAAUUUAAUUUUCCAGAAAGCCUACUUUUCUUUGAUUUCUCUUAUGUUAAUGGUAGACGUUUCUAAUUAAAAAUAGUAGACGUGUCUUAUGUUAAAUGUAGACUUUGCAACUUUCACUUUCCAUUAUUGAUUCAAUCUCAAGAACAAUUUAGAUUUCCAGAAAGUUUACUUUUCUUUUAUUUCUCUUAUGUGAAUGGUAGACAUUUCUUAUAAAAAAAAUAGUUGUGUCUUAUGUUAAAUGUAGACUUUGCAUCUUUUACCUUGAGUUGGUUCAAUCUCAAAAACAAUUUAGAUUUCCAGAAAGUCUACUUUUCUUUGGUUUCUCUUAUGUUAAUGGUAGACAUUUCUAAUGAAAAUAGUAGAGGUGUCUUAUGUUAAAUGUAGACUUUGUAUCUUUUACCUUGGGUUGCUUCAAUCUCAAGAACAAUUUAGAUUUCCAAAAAGUCUACUUUUCUUUGAUUUCUCUUAUGUUAAUGGUAGACGU
Molecule: long non-coding RNA, 507 nt
Filed under: Fragaria vesca (wild strawberry)
Lineage: Eukaryota; Viridiplantae; Streptophyta; Magnoliopsida; Rosales; Rosaceae
Description: long non-coding RNA (FVES_LNC005293)
Source: RNAcentral